UACGGAGGGAGCUAGCGUUGUUCGGAAUUACUGGGCGUAAAGCGCGCGUAGGCGGCUUUGUAAGUUAGAGGUGAAAGCCCGGGGCUCAACCCCGGAACUGCCUUUAAAACUGCAUCGCUUGAAUCCGGGAGAGGUGAGUGGAAUUCCGAGUGUAGAGGUGAAAUUCGUAGAUAUUGGGAAGAACACCGGUGGCGAAGGCGGCGACCUGGUCCUUGACUGACGCUGAGGCGCGAAAGCGUGGGGAGCAAACAGG
Molecule: ribosomal RNA, 253 nt
Filed under: uncultured bacterium
Lineage: Bacteria
Description: partial 16S ribosomal RNA
Rfam family: Bacterial small subunit ribosomal RNA
Source: RNAcentral